CUUUGCUCAUCACUCCUCCAUCUCUACAAUUGGGUUCCAGGAGUUCUGCUCAGUGUUUAGCUGUGGAUCUCUGCUUCUAUUUCCAUCAGCUACUGGAUGAAGGCUCUAGGAUGGCAUUUAAGGUGGUCAUCAAUCUCAUUAUAGGGGAAGGGCAUUUAAGAUAGCCUCUCCACUAUUGCUUAGAUUGCUAGUUGAGGUCAUCCUUGUGGAUCUCUUGGACAUUUCCCAAGUGUCAGGUUUCUCUUCAAACCUAUAAUGGCUCCCUCUAUUAACGUAGCUCUUUUCUUGCUCUCCUCUAUUCAUCCCCAGACUCAAUAUUCCUUAUCCCUCAGGGAUGUUCCUUCUUAAUGUUUCUGUUCUACUCUAAAUUUCAGUCAGUUUGCUUAGACCUGAAGCAUUGGUGCAUACCUGUGAUCCCAGCUCCCCAGGAGGGUGAGGCAUGAAGAUUGCUUGAGCCCAGGCAGACUAUCUAGGGUAUUCAACAGUCAUCAAGCAUAUAAGAACACUAGAUGCAAGAUAAGAAGGUAGCUGGCCCUGGGGUGAUAAGCAAGGCAAUGCCCUGGCCCUCAAGAUUCUCACGGGUCAUUCUGGAAAACAGCUGGUCUUCAAAGGUUUGAAUGUUAGAGAGCCAGGAGGGAGUGUUUUGCAGUGUUCUGUGAUGGGUUAAGAAGAGAAAGUGUCACAAAGCCGCUGGCUGCUUAAGCUGACCCUGAAGAAAGGAACUAAGACCCCAACAUACACAAGAGGAAACACAGGUCUCCGAAGAAGUAUGGCAGAGCAUAUCUCUCACAGGGUGGAGGUCUUGCUCGUCACCAGUCUCAGACACCACAGCCCUUCCAUCCCACAUCCAGCAUUACUGCUCAAGUAUUUCUACUAAGAACCCACAUUUUUCUUUUCCACCAAAGACAACACUCUUCUUUGGCCUUGUUCAUAUGUUAAGUCAAUCUUUGGUAUCUUUGCCAUUGACCUCAGACUCCUUUGCUUAAGCCGUUGAGUCAUUGCCCUGCCCCAAAAUAAUUACUAGUAACAAAAACAAUAUAGAAAUGUUCUAUUCUUUUUUCUUUCCAAUCAAUCAAAACAGCAUUUUUAUAUGAUGGAAAAUGCAAACAGGCAAAUAGCAAACAAUUUAGUUGGUAAAUUAUAGUACAUCAACAUGACAGAAGACUAUUCAGCCAGAAAGACACCAUUAAGAAGACAACAGAUGGCACAUGGGAAAGUAAAGCACAAAAUGAUCAAUAAUUAUACUUACAGAAAAAUACUUGUAAAGUGUUACUUGGAAAUGUUUAAAGCUUUAAGG
RNAcentral lists this long non-coding RNA (1297 nucleotides) under Cricetulus griseus (Chinese hamster). RNAcentral's name for it is "lncRNA (ENSCGRG00015036248.1)". The record is from RNAcentral. Lineage: Eukaryota; Metazoa; Chordata; Mammalia; Rodentia; Cricetidae.